RNAcentral lists this ribosomal RNA (496 nucleotides) under uncultured bacterium. RNAcentral's name for it is "partial 16S ribosomal RNA". It matches the Rfam family "Bacterial small subunit ribosomal RNA", at positions 29 to 507 of the family's 1533-position model. The record is from RNAcentral.
AUGAACGCUGGCGGCGUGCCUAAUACAUACACGUCGAGCGAACAGACGAGGAGCUUGCUCCUCUGACGUUAGCGGCGGACGGGUGAGUAACACGUGGAUAACCUACCUAUAAGACUGGGAUAACUUCGGGAAACCGGAGCUAAUACCGGAUAAUAUAUUGAACCGCAUGGUUCAAUAGUGAAAGACGGUUUUGCUGUCACUUAUAGAUGGAUCCGCGCCGCAUUAGCUAGUUGGUAAGGUAACGGCUUACCAAGGCAACGAUGCGUAGCCGACCUGAGAGGGUGAUCGGCCACACUGGAACUGAGACACGGUCCAGACUCCUACGGGAGGCAGCAGUAGGGAAUCUUCCGCAAUGGGCGAAAGCUUGACGGAGCAACGCCGCGUGAGUGAUGAAGGUCUUCGGAUCGUAAAACUCUGUUAUUAGGGAAGAACAAAUGUGUAAGUAACUAUGCACGUCUUGACGGUACCUAAUCAGAAAGCCACGGCUAACUACGUG